Molecule: ribosomal RNA, 324 nt
Filed under: Caulobacter sp.
Lineage: Bacteria; Pseudomonadati; Pseudomonadota; Alphaproteobacteria; Caulobacterales; Caulobacteraceae
Description: bacterial SSU rRNA
Rfam family: Bacterial small subunit ribosomal RNA
Source: RNAcentral
CAACCUGAGAGUUUGAUCCUGGCUCAGAGCGAACGCUGGCGGCAGGCCUAACACAUGCAAGUCGAGCGGUAGAGAGAAGCUUGCUUCUCUUGAGAGCGGCGGACGGGUGAGUAAUGCCUAGGAAUCUGCCUAGUGGUGGGGGAUAACGUUCGGAAACGGACGCUAAUACCGCAUACGUCCUACGGGAGAAAGCGGGGGACCUUCGGGCCUCGCGCCAUUAGAUGAGCCUAGGUCGGAUUAGCUAGUUGGUGAGGUAAAGGCUCACCAAGGCGACGAUCCGUAACUGGUCUGAGAGGAUGAUCAGUCACACUGGAACUGAGACAC